CAGCUGCAGCUGUACUGGGCCAUGACUCACGUUCGAGCUCUGUAAGAUCUGUGCUGAGCCAACAAGGACGUGAAGAUCGAGCCCUGUGGGCACCUGCUGUGUAGCCGCUGCCUGGCCACCUGGCAGCAAUCAGACAGCCAGACCUGCCCCUUCUGCCGAAGCCAGAUCAAGGGCCGAGAGGUCGUGAGUAUCCAUCGCUCCCAAGGGAGGCCAGCGGAAGCCAGGGCCACUGCUGAGGACUCAGGGAGCAGCGAUGGCCAGGAAAACGGCGAGGAAGAGCUGGGGCAGGUGGUCCCCUCAGCCCCCCCACUGCCCCCUCACCCGGACCUGCCCCCUCACCUGAAUCCGCCCCCUCGCCUGGAUCUGCCUCCUGAGCAUCCCAGAAGUAAAGGCCAGCUGAAGGUGGUCGACGCUCAGCCGCUGA
This is a long non-coding RNA of Myotis lucifugus (little brown bat), 424 nucleotides long. RefSeq lists it as uncharacterized. The transcript is spliced from 4 exons. The record is from RefSeq and is a predicted model, not a curated record. NCBI's taxonomy places the organism in Eukaryota, Metazoa, Chordata, Mammalia, Chiroptera, Vespertilionidae.